RNAcentral lists this ribosomal RNA (253 nucleotides) under uncultured bacterium. RNAcentral's name for it is "partial 16S ribosomal RNA". It matches the Rfam family "Bacterial small subunit ribosomal RNA", at positions 524 to 776 of the family's 1533-position model. The record is from RNAcentral.
UACGUAGGCAGCAAACGUUGUUCGGAAUUACUGGGCGUAAAGAGUGUGUAGGCGGUUCUGUAAGUUUGGUGUGAAAUCUCCCGGCUUAACUGGGAGGGUGCGCCGAAAACUGCAAGGCUUGAGUGCUGGAGAGGAUAGCGGAAUUCCUGGUGUAGCGGUGAAAUGCGUAGAUAUCAGGAGGAACACCGGCGGUGUAGACGGCUAUCUGGACAGUAACUGACGCUGAGACACGAAAGCGUGGGGAGCAAACAGG